UGGCUCAGGAUGAACUUCUAGCGGGAGGCUUAACACAUGCAAGUCGAGGGGCAGCACGAUGUAGCAAUACGUUGGUGGCGACCGGCGCACGGGUGAGUAACACGUAUGCAACCUACCCUGUACAGGGGGAUAACCCGGAGAAAUUCGGACUAAUAUCCCAUGAUGAUAUUGAGGGGCAUCCUUUAAUAUUUAAAGCUCAGGCGGUACGGGAUGGGCAUGCGGAACAUUAGCUAGUUGGCAGGGUAACGGCCUACCAAGGCAACGAUGUUUAGGGGACCUGAGAGGGUGAUCCCCCACACUGGUACUGAGACACGGACCAGACUCCUACGGGAGGCAGCAGUGAGGAAUAUUGGUCAAUGGGCGCAAGCCUGAACCAGCCAUCCCGCGUGCAGGAAGACGGCCCUAUGGGUUGUAAACUGCUUUUCCAGGGGGAGAAUUUUUCUGUCGAGACAGGAAUUGACGGUACCCUGGGAAUAAGCAUCGGCUAACUCCGUGCCAGCAGCCGCGGUAAUACGGAGGAUGCGAGCGUUAUCCGGAUUUAUUGGGUUUAAAGGGUGCGUAGGCGGAUAGAUAAGUCAGUGGUGAAAACCUGCAGCUUAACUGUAGACUUGCCGUUGAUACUGUCAGUCUUGAGUAUGGUCAAGGUAGGCGGAAUGUGUAAUGUAGCGGUGAAAUGCUUAGAUAUUACACAGAACACCGAUUGCGAAGGCAGCUUACUGGGCCAUUACUGACGCUGAUGCACGAAAGCGUGGGGAUCGAACAGGAUUAGAUACUCUGGUAGUCCACGCCGUAAACGAUGAUCACUCGCUGUUAGCGAUACACAGUUAGCGGCUAAGCAAAAGCAUUAAGUGAUCCAUCUGGGGAGUACGGCCGCAAGGCUGAAACUCAAAGGAAUUG
This 897-nucleotide ribosomal RNA is filed under the name uncultured bacterium. Its description in RNAcentral is "bacterial SSU rRNA". It matches the Rfam family "Bacterial small subunit ribosomal RNA", at positions 20 to 912 of the family's 1533-position model. The record is from RNAcentral.